AGAGUUUGAUCCUGGCUCAGAACGAACGCUGACGGCGUGCCUAACACAUGCAAGUCGAACGAGAAAGUCCCGGCUUGCCGGGAUUAGUAAAGUGGCGCACGGGUGAGUAACGCGUGGGUAAUCUGCCUUUAAGUUUGGGAUAACACUGCGAAAGCGGUGCUAAUACCGGAUAUGCUUACGGUUUGAAAUGUCCGUGAGAAAAGAUGGCCUCUGACAUAAGCUAUCGCUUGAAGAUGAGCCCGCGUACCAUUAGCUUGUUGGUAGGGUAAUGGCCUACCAAGGCUACGAUGGUUAGCUGGCCUGAGAGGGCGGCCAGCCACACUGGAACUGAGACACGGUCCAGACUCCUACGGGAGGCAGCAGUGGGGAAUAUUGCGCAAUGGGGGAAACCCUGACGCAGCGACGCCGUGUGAGUGAUGAAGGCUUUCGGGUCGUAAAGCUCUGUCGGAUGGGACGAAUAAGGGCUGUGUAAAUAAUGCAGUCCGAUGACGGUACCGUCGAAGGAAGCACCGGCUAACUCCGUGCCAGCAGCCGCGGUAAUACGGAGGGUGCAAGCGUUGUUCGGAAUUAUUGGGCGUAAAGAACGCGUAGGCGGGUCUGUAUGUCAGAUGUGAAAGCCCUCGGCUCAACUGAGGAAGUGCAUCUGAAACUGCAGGUCUUGAGUACGAGAGAGGAGAGUGGAAUUCCCAGUGUAGAGGUGAAAUUCAUAGAUAUUGGGAAGAACACCGGCGGCGAAAGCGGCUCUCUGGCUCGAUACUGACGCUGAGGCGUGAAAGCGUGGGGAGCAAACAGGAUUAGAU
This 800-nucleotide ribosomal RNA is filed under the name uncultured bacterium. RNAcentral describes it as "bacterial SSU rRNA". It matches the Rfam family "Bacterial small subunit ribosomal RNA", at positions 8 to 783 of the family's 1533-position model. The record is from RNAcentral.